CGAUCCGUCUCGGCUUGCAGAGUGCGCCACCGCCCUCGGCCAAUCACCGCUCGCGCUUCGCAUUGGCCCCGCCUCCGCCCCGAAACUCUACUAGAAAGUUCCAGUGGACGUUAGACGCAAGGUUGGGGAUUGACCUCAGCGUUACCCAAUGGAGAUCGGGCAGCCGGAUCCUGGUCUUUUUUUCACACGGGUUCUGACCUUCGAGAAAUCUGAAAGAAGUCAAUGGCAAAUGGGAACUCUCAGCUCUCUCUACCUCCAACAGGAGCUGCUCUGUAUACAUGGUAUGCAGAUUUCUUUGAUGGGAAGGGUGUCAGUUUCUCUUGUAGUUAGACCAGUGACUGAUUCAUCACUGAACUAUCUCUUCCUAUAAUUCACUGCUACUUCAUUCAAUUGAUUGUAUCAUACGGAGCAGGGAGAAAUGCCAAGAGCAAUACAAAGAGAGUGAGUUGAUAAAUUCCAUUUCAGCUGAAAAGUUGAUGUUAUUUAUUAUUGGUAUCCUUGUGAGGACUGUCCCUUAGAAGCACUAGUAAUGUACAAGAACCCUGUUUUGAUAGCUGCAGUACAAACUCAGACCCAGUUAUUUCUGAGUAAAAAGAGGAUUCCUGCCUCAAAAAUGUAUGUAUCGAAACAAGGGAUGGAAAGAACAUAUGGACUAAGAAAUAACAAUAUUGAUUAGCACAUUAAGCAGCAAAAUUAAUCUGAUAUCUCAUUUAAGUGUAGCUGUAAUCAAACAGGUUUUAUCAGAUUUUAGAAGUGACAUUUCACUAAUUUGGCCCAAAGCUUUUAGCUGUAAGUUUUAUCAGCCCAGGCACAAAAUACAUACAACAGCUCCAGACAAAACUUGUUUGGGGUGUCCUUGGCCCAGUAACUAGUAUGGCCCUGAUAUGGUUGUGCUGAUACCCAGAUGUGCUGAUAACCUGCUAAAGAGGUGUUUGCAUUGACUGGAUUCCUACUUACCCUGAUAGUACUCCCUCAGUCCUAUUUAUUUCAUCUUUUGAAUUGUUAUUUUGCU
This 1012-nucleotide long non-coding RNA is filed under the name Aquila chrysaetos chrysaetos. RNAcentral describes it as "lncRNA (ENSACCG00020014218.1)". The record is from RNAcentral. Lineage: Eukaryota; Metazoa; Chordata; Aves; Accipitriformes; Accipitridae.